CUGGGGCCCGGGUGUGGUAUUUUUGGAGUUAAUGGAGUCAGAAGGACCUCCAGAGUCAGAGAGUUCAGAAUUUGUCUCACAGCAAGAAGAGGAAGAUGAAGAAGAAGAAGCCCAAGAACCAGAGGAAACAGGCCCCAAGAACCCCCUUUUACAACCUGCUCUCACAGGGGAUGUAGAGGGUUUGCAGAAGAUUUUUGAGGAUCCCGAGAAUCCUCAUCAUGAACAGGCCAUGCAGCUUCUCUUAGAAGAAGACAUUGUUGGGAGAAAUUUGUUGUAUGCAGCUUGCAUGGCUGGGCAAAGUGACGUGAUUAGAGCUUUGGCAAAAUACGGUGUGAAUCUGAAUGAAAAAACCACCAGAGGUAUUUUGUCUUUUUUCUCUCAUCAGUAUUACUUAUGACUACCUAAAGAUGCAAUGUAAUAUCUUUAAGGUUAGAUAUAUUUGAUAUGCCUGUUUUAUACUUUACAUAUAUGUGUAUAUACAUCUAUAUGGGUGUAUGUAUGUGUAUACAUGUAAAUGUGUCAAUGUUGAUAUUACAUAGUAUAGUAUUUUAGAACAUAGACUUCACUAUUUAUUAGCUGUGUGACUUGGCAAGUUACCUGAUCUUUUUGUGUAUCUGUUUUUCCAUCUGCAAAAUGGGGAUAAUAAUUAUAUUUUCCUUAUAGGGUAUAAUGAGGGUUAAAUAGGAUAAAAUAAAUAUUUUAGUGCUUGGCAUAUUGUAAAUUGAUAUAUAGUAAAUGUGUAAUAAUUUACUGUUAUCUCUUUCCUUUGAAGAUUUAUUAAUUUUUUAGCAAUCAUCAUCUAAGUAGCUUUUUAAAUUCAGUAAUUAUUUUUUCAGAUUGCAAAUAUAAUACAUGGUCAUGGGAGAAAAUUUAAAAACAUGAUCAUCAGCAUGAUCUUCAGCAAAGAAAGGAUAUACAUUCUCUUCAUGCUCACAUGGAACAUUUAAAAAAUAUUGAUCAUAUGUUGAGCCAUAAAGGAAGUCUUAACAACUAUCAAAGUAUCUAUAGCAUAUAGUCUUUGAUCAGUGACUACAACAAAAUAAAAUUAAAAAGUAGUAACAAAAAGGUAACUGAAAACUGAAAGCAAAAACACACUUCAUUUAUUUUUUAUUUUCAUUUUUAUUUUUUGAGACAGGGUCUCACUCUGUUGCCCAGGCUGGAGUGUAAUGGCAUGAUCUCAGCUCACUGCAACCUCUGCCUCCCAGGUUCAAGUGAUUCUCACACCUUAGCUUCCCAAGUAGCUGGGACUACAGGCAUGGGUCACCACGCCUGGCUAAUUUUUGUAUUUUUUGGUAGAGACGGGGUUUCACCAUGUUGGCCAGGCUGGUCUCGAUCUCCUGACCUCCAGUGAUCCACCUGUCUUGGCCUCCCAAAGUGCUGGGAUUACAGGUGUGAGCUACUGCAUCCAGCCAAGAACACACUUUAAAUCAUCUAUUGGUCACAGAAGAUAUAAUGAAAAUUAUGAAAUGUUUAAGUGACAACAGCAUCACUCUAUGUCUGAACCCAUGGGAUACAACUAAAAUUAAAAUUCUAGUAUAAUACAUAUAUUAGAAUAUAAGAAACAUAAAAAAUUUAGUAAACAAAGCAUUUGACUGACGAAAUUAGAAAAAGAACAACUGAGUAACCAAAGAAAGUAAAAGAAAAAUAAUUGAAUAAAUUAAUGACAUUGAAAAUAAAGAAAUAGGCCAGAGGCCAGGUGCAGAGGCUCACACCUAUAAUCUCAGCACUUUGGGAGGCCGAGGCAAGAGGAUUGCUUGAGGUCAGGAGUUCAAGAACAGCCUGGGUGACAAGAUGAGAUAAGACCCUGUUUCUGAAAAAAAAAAAAAA
This 1827-nucleotide small RNA is filed under the name Pongo abelii (Sumatran orangutan). Its description in RNAcentral is "retained intron". The record is from RNAcentral. Lineage: Eukaryota; Metazoa; Chordata; Mammalia; Primates; Hominidae.